RNAcentral lists this ribosomal RNA (501 nucleotides) under uncultured bacterium. RNAcentral's name for it is "partial 16S ribosomal RNA". It matches the Rfam family "Bacterial small subunit ribosomal RNA", at positions 30 to 523 of the family's 1533-position model. The record is from RNAcentral.
AUUGAACGCUGGCGACAGGCUUAACACAUGCAAGUCGAGCGGGGUGAUGGUGCUUGCACUAUCACCUAGCGGCGGACGGGUGAGUAAUGCUUAGGAAUCUGCCUAUUAGUGGGGGACAACAUCCCGAAAGGGAUGCUAAUACCGCAUACGUCCUACGGGAGAAAGCAGGGGAUCUUUAUGACCUUGCGCUAAUAGAUGAGCCUAAGUCGGAUUAGCUAGUUGGUGGGGGAAAGGCCUACCAAGGCGACGACCUGUAGCGGGUCUGAGAGGAUGACCCGCCACACUGGACUGAGACACGGCCCAGACUACUACGGGAGGCAGCAGUGGGGAAUAUUGGACAAUGGGGGGAACCCUGAGCCAGCCAUGCCGCGUGUGUGAAGAAGGCCUUAUGGUUGUAAAGCACUUUAAGCGAGGAGGAGGCUCUUUUGGUUAAUACCCAGAAUGAGUGGACGUUACUCGCAGAAUAAGCACCGGCUAACUCUGUGCCAGCCGCCGCAGUAA